Long non-coding RNA from Phyllopteryx taeniolatus (common seadragon), 643 nucleotides. RefSeq lists it as uncharacterized. The record is from RefSeq and is a predicted model, not a curated record. Lineage: Eukaryota; Metazoa; Chordata; Actinopteri; Syngnathiformes; Syngnathidae. The transcript is spliced from 3 exons.
CAGUAUAAAGAGGCUUUAAGACGACACAUCAAGCCAUGUCAGCACCUGCUGCAGUGCUUGUAUCGAGUUGCACACGGGCAACGCUCAGGCCUCAAGGCAGCUCACGAAGGCAGCGUUUUAUUUUAUUUUGCUGCUUGUUUGUGACAUCUUUAUGUCUUUGGCUCUUUUUUGCUUUCUCUGGGUCAAGACUAUAAUGCACUCCACAUGCCUGUUGCUAACUCAUCAUCAAGCCAUUGGGGAGAAUCUAUGUGCCGAAAUAGGUUUCGGUACAAUAAGAAAACCACUUCAUGUGUUUUACAUCUUGAAUAUAUCAAAACACUCUGGCCUUCCUGUGUGGAAUUUGCAUGUUCUCCCCGUGCUUGUAUGGAUUUUCUCUGGGUGCUCAAACUUCCUCCCACAUUCAAAAUACAGGUACAUGGUAAGUUCAGUGACGACUUUAAAUUGUCAAUAGACUGAAUGGUUGUUUUUCUACUGUAUAUUUAACCUGCGAUUGACUGCUGACCAAUUCAGGGUGUACCACCACCUCUUGUCCAAAGUCAGCUGCAUAGGCUACAGUUCACCCACAGCUUAAACAAGAACAAGAGGUAUAGGAAAUGGAUGGAUGUUGUGACUAUUACGCUUCCUUCUUUGAGUGUUCCUACAA